GGCACCCCAUGUCGCCAUUCCUUCAAAAGGAGGGCGGUCCUCCGAGCGUGGAGAAGCGGGCACUGACCCCAAGGAAGUUGGAUGCCCUAAGGAAUGCCUACGAAGAGCACCUCCGGGCUCAGGCAAGCCUGGUGCCGGAUGCACAGCAUCGCAAAAAUUUAAAUCGGCAUCUUGCUGAUCUCCUCAAUGUGCUGAAGCUCAGAUCGACAAAAGCACGCAUUUUGUAAUUUUUAUUGAUUGAUAAAAUUUUUCAUUUUUUUAA
This is a long non-coding RNA of Rhipicephalus microplus (southern cattle tick), 262 nucleotides long. RefSeq lists it as uncharacterized. NCBI's taxonomy places the organism in Eukaryota, Metazoa, Arthropoda, Arachnida, Ixodida, Ixodidae. The record is from RefSeq and is a predicted model, not a curated record.